GACGAACGCUGGCGGCGUGCCUAAUACAUGCAAGUAGAACGCUGAAGAGAGGAGCUUGCUCUUCUUGGAUGAGUUGCGAACGGGUGAGUAACGCGUAGGUAACCUGCCUUGUAGCGGGGGAUAACUAUUGGAAACGAUAGCUAAUACCGCAUAACAAUGGAUGACACAUGUCAUUUAUUUGAAAGGGGCAAUUGCUCCACUACAAGAUGGACCUGCGUUGUAUUAGCUAGUAGGUGAGGUAAUGGCUCACCUAGGCGACGAUACAUAGCCGACCUGAGAGGGUGAUGGGCCACACUGGGAAUGAGACACGGCCCAGACGCCUACGGGAGGCAGCAGUAGGGAAUCCUCGGCAAUGGGGGCAACCCUGACCGAGCAACGCCGCGUGAGUGAAGAAGGUUUUCGGAUCGUAAAGCGCUGUUGUAAGUCAAGAACGGGUGUGAGAGUGGAAAGUUCACACUGUGACGGUAGCUUACCAGAAAGGGACGGCUAACUACGUG
Molecule: ribosomal RNA, 497 nt
Filed under: uncultured bacterium
Lineage: Bacteria
Description: partial 16S ribosomal RNA
Rfam family: Bacterial small subunit ribosomal RNA
Source: RNAcentral